GGCACCCCAUAGCUAAAAGCUAGGGGCUUGCAGUUGGGGAAGGUUCCUCCACAAAGCUUCUGACCGUCUUCUGCAAGCCUGGGCCUGACCAGACUCAGCCAGGGUUGUCUCUAAGAAGCUCAAGUGGAGCGGAGAACGACUAUCGGGCUACGUUACUGAAGAAAUAGGUACUAGUGCAUGGCAUCUAGAGGAACCUUCCUCAGUGCACUGCUCUACGGUUGCAGGUUAAACAGGCUUACGGGGUUACGCCAGUGCUUGCAACGUCAAACCUUCAGAUAACCUUGUCGAGAGGAGCGGUGG
Non-coding RNA from Cyanobacteria bacterium 13_1_40CM_2_61_4, 300 nucleotides. The record is from Rfam. Lineage: Bacteria; Bacillati; Cyanobacteriota.